Molecule: ribosomal RNA, 519 nt
Filed under: uncultured eukaryote
Lineage: Eukaryota
Description: SSU rRNA
Rfam family: Eukaryotic small subunit ribosomal RNA
Source: RNAcentral
AGGGCACCACCAGGAGUGGAGCCUGCGGCUUAAUUUGACCCAACACGGGAAAACUCACCCGGCCCGGACACUGGAAGGAUUGACAGAUUGAGAGCUCUUUCUUGAUUCAGUGGGUGGUGGUGCAUGGCCGUUCUUAGUUGGUGGAGUGAUUUGUCUGGUUAAUUCCGAUAACGAACGAGACUCUAGCCUACUAAAUAGAUCGUCGGCUUACAAACGCCGACGAGACUUCUUAGAGGGACAGGCGGCGAUUCAGCCGCACGAAACAGAGCAAUAACAGGUCUGUGAUGCCCUUAGAUGUCCGGGGCCGCACGCGCGCUACACUGAAGUGAUCAGCGUGCUUUUUCAACCUACUCUGUCAAGAGUGGGGAACCCAAUGAACCUUCUUCGUGAUUGGGAUAGGGGAUUGUAAUUAUUCCCCUUGAACGAGGAAUUCCCAGUAAGCGCGAGUCAUAAGCUCGCGUUGAUUACGUCCCUGCCCUUUGUACACACCGCCCGUCGCUACUACCGAUUGAAUGUUUU